AGCUCCAAUAGCGUAUAUUAAAGUUGUUGCAGUUAAAAAGCUCGUAGUCGGAUUUUGGCAUCACGCCGUACUGUCUGCCGAUUGGUAAGUACGGUUUGGCGGGUGCUCUCCUUCCGGAGGCUCGUUCCCUUCUUCAUUGAAGGGUUCGAUGGUUCCGGGUCUUUUACUUUGAAAAAAUUAGAGUGUUCAAAGCAGGCCUAUGCUCUGAAUAGGUUAGCAUGGAAUAAUAGAAUAGGACUUUGGUUCUAUUUUGUUGGUUUCUAGGACCGAAGUAAUGAUUAAGAGGGACAGUUGGGGGCAUUCGUAUUUCGUUGUCAGAGGUGAAAUUCUUGGAUUUACGAAAGACGAACAACUGCGAAAGCAUUUGCCAA
Molecule: ribosomal RNA, 371 nt
Filed under: uncultured eukaryote
Lineage: Eukaryota
Description: SSU rRNA
Rfam family: Eukaryotic small subunit ribosomal RNA
Source: RNAcentral